AUUGAACGCUGGCGGCAUGCCUUACACAUGCAAGUCGAACGGCAGCACGGGAGCAAUCCUGGUGGCGAGUGGCGAACGGGUGAGUAAUAUAUCGGAACGUGCCCAGUCGUGGGGAUAACGUAGCGAAAGUUACGCUAAUACCGCAUACGAUCUAAGGAUGAAAGCGGGGGACUCGCAAGAGCCUCGCGCGAUUGGAGCGGCCGAUAUCAGAUUAGGUAGUUGGUGAGGUAAAGGCUCACCAAGCCGACGAUCUGUAGCUGGUCUGAGAGGACGACCAGCCACACUGGGACUGAGACACGGCCCAGACUCCUACGGGAGGCAGCAGUGGGGAAUUUUGGGACAAUGGGCGCAAGCCUGAUCCAGCCAUGCCGCGUGCAGGAAGACGGUCCUAUGGAUUGUAAACUGCUUUUAUACUAGGAAGAAACACUCCCUCGUGAGGGAACUUGACGGUACUGUAUGAAUAAGCAUCGGCUAACUCCG
RNAcentral lists this ribosomal RNA (480 nucleotides) under uncultured bacterium. RNAcentral describes it as "bacterial SSU rRNA". It matches the Rfam family "Bacterial small subunit ribosomal RNA", at positions 30 to 505 of the family's 1533-position model. The record is from RNAcentral.